GACGAACGCUGGCGGCGUGCUUAACACAUGCAAGUCGAACGAUGAAGCUAGAGCUUGCUCUGGUGAAUUAGUGGCGAACGGGUGAGUAACACGUGAGUAACCUGCCCUGGACUCUGGGAUAACCCCGAGAAAUCGGAGCUAAUACCGGAUAGGACCUUUCCUCGCAUGAGGUGGGGUGGAAAGUUUUUUCGGUUUGGGAUGGACUCGCGGCCUAUCAGCUUGUUGGUGAGGUAAUGGCUCACCAAGGCGUCGACGGGUAGCCGGCCUGAGAGGGUGACCGGCCACACUGGGACUGAGACACGGCCCAGACUCCUACGGGAGGCAGCAGUGGGGAAUAUUGCACAAUGGGCGCAAGCCUGAUGCAGCAACGCCGCGUGCGGGAUGACGGCCUUCGGGUUGUAAACCGCUUUUAGUAGGGAAGAAGCCUCUUGGGGUGACGGUACCUGCAGAAAAAGGACCGGCUAACUACGUGCCAGCAGCCGCUGUAA
RNAcentral lists this ribosomal RNA (488 nucleotides) under uncultured bacterium. RNAcentral's name for it is "partial 16S ribosomal RNA". It matches the Rfam family "Bacterial small subunit ribosomal RNA", at positions 28 to 523 of the family's 1533-position model. The record is from RNAcentral.